AUCUAUGGCUAUACCACCCUGAACAUGCUUGAUCUUGUCUGAGCUCAGAAGCUAAGCAUGGUCGGACCUGGUUAGUUCUUGGAUGGGAGACAGAGAUUAUGGAAGAUGAGGAGUUAUGGAUA
Molecule: ribosomal RNA, 122 nt
Organism: Gorilla gorilla gorilla (western lowland gorilla)
Lineage: Eukaryota; Metazoa; Chordata; Mammalia; Primates; Hominidae
Source: Ensembl